This 301-nucleotide ribosomal RNA is filed under the name uncultured bacterium. RNAcentral describes it as "partial 16S ribosomal RNA". It matches the Rfam family "Bacterial small subunit ribosomal RNA", at positions 509 to 809 of the family's 1533-position model. The record is from RNAcentral.
CAGUCGCCGCGGUAAUACGUAGGGUGCAAGCGUUAAUCGGAAUUACUGGGCGUAAAGCGUGCGCAGGCGGUUAUAUAAGACAGAUGUGAAAUCCCCGGGCUCAACCUGGGAACUGCAUUUGUGACUGUAUAGCUAGAGUACGGCAGAGGGGGAUGGAAUUCCGCGUGUAGCAGUGAAAUGCGUAGAUAUGCGUAGGAACACCGAUGGCGAAGGCAAUCCCCUGGGCCUGUACUGACGCUCAUGCACGAAAGCGUGGGGAGCAAACAGGAUUAGAGACCCCUGUAGUCCCUGUCUCUUAUAU